CAACCCCCUCGGAGAAAAAUCGCCCCCACUUCCACAUCUCGGCCGAGAAAAAUCGCCGCCCCAAGCCCCCAACACUCCUGCCGCGAUUGGGGUCUCCGGUGUAGGAGGAGCUGCAGCCCGCGGCGGCUCUUCUCCCCUGCACCCCGAGCUCCAAUGGCCUCACUCUGGGAGCCGAAGCAGUCAAGGCGUGGUGGUCUCAAGCACAGCGACGCCGAUCCUGAUAGCGCCCUGGCCACGACGCCGACGGCACGCCCUCACGACGGUCAUGCACAUGAGCGAUAGGAGAGGGUGGCACCAACUAUGGCUGCGGCACCGAUGAGUUCGCAAGACGAGCCCUGCUGCAUCGACGAGCCCUGCGCGGCAUCGGCAAGACCGGUAUAGGUUGCCGCACCGGCGAGCUCUGUGGUACAUGCGACCAUGCCGGCGCAGUUCCUCAAGAUUGGAUGUGUGCACUCUUGCAGGCUGGUGAUGACAACCAUCUUGGACGCCUUCUUCGAGGACCUCGGCUUGCUUAAGGCGAUGAUUGAUCGUCCGACUUACUCUGGUUGUGGCAUAGCAUGCACACUAGGUGUUUGUUCAUUUGUUUGUGCUGCCUUUGAUAGGUUCCCUGCCUGUCGAUUUUUUUUUCUCUGCCGAGAAGUGCAUAUUGUUGAUUGGUCCGGCUUACAAAGAGGAGUACCAGCUUCCCGAGUCUCUUACAGAAGCACUAAAUUGAAUACGAGGAGCAUGCCCAUGGACAAUUUCAUGUAUGUGUAUUGCCAUUGUGAUACAAGGUUAAGUGUGUAAUAUUUUUAGAUGGUCAAAGCAUGACUGCAUGAGUAUAACCAACUACAUCAGCCAUGAGGGUCUUCAGGUCUGCUCUAAAAUUAGACCUUGUAGUUAUUCUAAAUUGAUAAUGCUGGCAUGUAUGUGGAAUCAAAAAUCAUAGCUUGAAUUGCUUCUGAAGCAUAGUAUUGUCUUCCAAUUCUAUAAUAUUUAUUUCCUAUGCCGAUACUAUUAACCUGUUCCUUGGUUUAUAUCUUCUCUAACUGGGUCAUUCUGUAUGUUGUGGCUGUAUCAGAGUAUAUGUCAACUAAUCAAAGAUGUAUACUCCUAAUGCUUUUUCUUACAAUUGUAUGGGUGAUUGUGAUGCACAAAUUUCUAGCAGCAGUAGUGCUACCUGCUACUGCCAGUCGGUAGGCAGGCUGGUGCAACCGUCUUGGAGGUGAUGUCAUUUUGGGAAGCUUGUAUUAGAUAUAUAUGCUUUGGAGUGAA
Long non-coding RNA from Triticum aestivum (bread wheat), 1254 nucleotides. RefSeq lists it as uncharacterized. The record is from RefSeq and is a predicted model, not a curated record. Lineage: Eukaryota; Viridiplantae; Streptophyta; Magnoliopsida; Poales; Poaceae. The transcript has 4 exons.